UUCGCAAUGCCCGAAAGGGUGACGAAGCGACGCCGCGUGUGGGAAGAAGGCCUUCGGGUUGUAAACCACUGUCGGGAGUUAAGAAAUGCAAGAAUAUUAAUAGUGUCUUUGUUUGACUAAGGCUCCGGAGGAAGCCACGGCUAACUCUGUGCCAGCAGCCGCGGUAAUACAGAGGCGGCAAGCGUUGUUCGGAAUUAUUGGGCGUAAAGAGCACGUAGGCGGCUAUGUAAGUCGGUUGUGAAAGCCUUCCGCUCAACGGAAGAACAGCAUCCGAUACUACAUGGCUUGAGUGCGGGAGGGGAGAGUGGAACUUCUGGUGGAGCGGUGAAAUGCGUAGAUAUCAGAAGGAACGCCGGCGGCGAAAGCGGCUCUCUGGCCCAUAACUGACGCUGAGUGUGCGAAAGCUAGGGGAGCAAACGGGAUUAGAUACCCCGGUAGUCCUAGCCGUAAACGAUGGGCACUAAGUAGAGGGGUUUU
Molecule: ribosomal RNA, 477 nt
Filed under: uncultured bacterium
Lineage: Bacteria
Description: bacterial SSU rRNA
Rfam family: Bacterial small subunit ribosomal RNA
Source: RNAcentral